Long non-coding RNA from Hippocampus comes (tiger tail seahorse), 225 nucleotides. RefSeq lists it as uncharacterized. Lineage: Eukaryota; Metazoa; Chordata; Actinopteri; Syngnathiformes; Syngnathidae. The transcript is spliced from 2 exons. The record is from RefSeq and is a predicted model, not a curated record.
AUAUUUUGUCUGAGCAGAGCUGGGCUGAAUUUUUAAGAACAGUAGAUGCCGAUAUCGUCACCGGAUACAACAUCCAGAACUUUGACUUCCCCUACUUGCUCAACCGGGCUGCCGCGUUAAAGGUCAAUCUGUUUCCAUAUUUGGGCCGGGUGAGAGGGAUCAAGUCGGUGUUGCGGGACCUCAACUUCCAGAGCAAGCAGAUGGGCCGCAGAGAGAAUAAGAUCA